This 81-nucleotide non-coding RNA is filed under the name unclassified sequences. The record is from RNAcentral.
GGUGUAAAGCUACUAAACAGGCAAUACAAAAAUAAGUCCUGUUUAAAGGUUCAAAGUCCUUGUAAAAAAGCUGAUGACACG